This 78-nucleotide transfer RNA is filed under the name Grifola frondosa (maitake). It matches the Rfam family "tRNA". From Rfam's summary of the family: Transfer RNA (tRNA) molecules are approximately 80 nucleotides in length. The record is from Rfam by way of RNAcentral. Lineage: Eukaryota; Fungi; Basidiomycota; Agaricomycetes; Polyporales; Grifolaceae.
GGCGCUAUAGUGUAGUGGUUAUCACUUGGGAUUCUGACGGAUGUUCCCAAAACCCAGGUUCGAGCCCUGGUAGCGCCU